Ziziphus jujuba (common jujube) is the source of this 2939-nucleotide long non-coding RNA. RefSeq lists it as uncharacterized. The transcript is spliced from 2 exons. The record is from RefSeq and is a predicted model, not a curated record. NCBI's taxonomy places the organism in Eukaryota, Viridiplantae, Streptophyta, Magnoliopsida, Rosales, Rhamnaceae.
CCAAAACAAAUUUGACCCGUGGGUAGCACCGUACCCAGUCAUUAACUUGGCCCGUAUUUGUUUAUAGCUCCAUACGAAACCCUAGCUUAAUUGCUAUAAAAUCCAUGGCCGACGUCCUACUUUCUAUGAGUUCCGCCAUUUUCUUUACGAUUCUAGGGUUUGUACUUCGAAUUUCCUUUCGAUGUAGAAGCUAUUCAAGUAGUGUGUUAAUGGUAUUGUAUAGGAAUGGGUAGAAAGAGGUCGCGGUGAUGACUCCAUGAAAUUCAAGCUCAACAGACCGGAAUGCAGGCUUCUCUUUCUAAGAGAACUUUGCGUGUCGACUACCCCGCUGAACUGAGCGAUCUCUUUCUUCUGCUCUGUCUAUCACUUUUUUAUUUUUAUAUUUUCUGUUCGAUUACUGAGAAAAUAGUUGUUCGAUUGAGAAAAUCAAUUGAACCUUCAGAUUGAUUAUUCCCUGUUUUUCUUCCUUUCUAAAAAUUCCCUUUUUUUUUUUUCCCCCUCAAAUUGUCCAUAAAAAAUCUUUUUUUAAUUUAAUUUUGUGGGAAAUUGUGGUUUUUCAAUGAGGAUUACAAAGCUCCCUCUUCUGAAUUAAAAGCUGAGGAAGAUUGCUGGCAGAAUCGAACCAAAUAUUUAUAUCGCCACUACUGAGUUAACCAUAGAUUUCCCACAAAACUUUGUAUUUUUUUGUGCUAAAUUUUGCUUUAAAAUAUUUCAUUCCUGAUUUUUUUGUUGUUCUUUGAUGUUUUUUUGAGUUUGAUAUGUUUUUAACACUUUGGUUGAUUGGGAUGAAGCUUUACAAAUAAUCCAACACUUGAUCUGAGUGAUACAUUGUAUCCUUUGAUGUCAAAUGAAUUUGCUUCUGAAUCUUGGUUGUUUCAUUUUAUUUGUUUGGUAAAUUUUCUUUUUUUGGGUAUAAAAAUUGCUACUUUUUGUUCUUUAGGGUGUUGCUUAAAUGCUCUUAUUGUUAUUGAAUUCUGACUUGUGAUGGUCAAUGUGAUAUGGAAUUGGAAUCAUCAUAGGAUGAAAUCAGGAAUAAUCUUAGGACACCUUCCUACACAGCUCCACCUGCUGUGGAUGAGAAGAACUUUCCGUUCUGAUGAUGAUUAAUAUUAUAUAUUUGUUUUUAACUUUUAUGUUUUUGAACUUUUACAGUUUAGACAAUUUGAAAUUGUAUGCAACAUUCUUUGUGUUUGGUAACGCUCGUGGUGAUGGUAAUUGAUUAGGCAUAUUAGGUAGCUGAAUGCUUAUAAGGUUUUUGUUUUACUGUGAGAAAUGCUCUGAAUUGCUGCGUUGGUUUAACAGACUCUAUAUUAUGCUUUGUGUAAUCUUACCAAUAUUUUUUCAUAUUAAUUCCAGUGUUGAUAUCUAUUAGAGUUUACAAGUUAUGAUGUCUAAUCUAUCUGGACAAACAAGAGCAGUCCUUGUAACGAGUUUGUGAUUUUGCAUUUUCUAAUUACUAAUUAGACCGUGACAUUUCAAUGAUGGUGAACGUAUUUUUUGCUUUUUAAUAUCGUAAAUUGUAAUAUUUUUAUAAAUCAUUUUAAUGAUAAUCUUCAAUCUAAAGCUAUCAUUUCUUGGUUGUUGCUGACAGUACCUUUGAAAACAGUGUAAUUCUCGGCUUCUCCUAGUAGAAGCUGUUUAGUCAUUGUUUGUCAUGUUAAGUAUACUUAAGAUGUGAAUUGCUUCAUUAUCAUAUGCCUUAGAUAUGAAUUACAUGUUAACCUCGGGGGGAAAAGCAUUUAUGAAUGAGUGCUUCAGAUUCUAUUGGAAGAGGAAACAAAUAAGUAGAAGAUUAACCAAAAUUUAUAGGUUUAUUUAUACUGAUAUUGUUUUUUAAUUAUUUUUUUUCUCUACUAUAAUUGUUUUUCUUAAUUGAUCAAACAAAAAAUUUGUCCGGAGAUUAAAUAAGGGUAGAGGUAGUGUUAUAUAUAUUUUUCAAUUGAGUGCUUCAAUUUAAAUUUCAAUUUCACUUAGGAUGUUUGUUUUCAAUUUUUUAAGUGAAAUGCUCUGUUUUAGUUUUAUUUUGAAUAUAAAUAAAUUUAAGUAAAAUUUUUGGCAAACUAAAUCUCUUGCUGUAAAUUCAAAAAUAUUAUUGACUUAAAUUUUUAAAAUACAACAAAACGUAAGUGGUAAUGUUGUAGUAAUCAAAAUAUUGAUUGAAAAUAUUUAAUCAAAAAUAUUAACCAAACAAAAUCUGUUGACGGAUUAUCGGUUUAUUUAUUGUAAAUCAAGAAAAUAAAUCAAUAAAAUACAAUUUUACAAACUAAAAUUGAGGAUCCCGAUUAAAAAAUUUGGAAAUGGAGACGCUAUGGUUAAAUCAACAUGAAAAUUAAGACAAUUUGCACAAAGCUCCUCUGCAAUUCAUCAUAAUUAAUACAACGCAGCAAUCAAAAAUACAACUACACUGAUCUUAGUAAAAGGGGCUUUAGACGCACUAGCUUCAGGUUAAUGCCAGAUAAAAAGGAUUUUGGUUAUAGUUUCCCGGGAUGGGGUGGUACUUGUGAUAUUUGGGCUUGGCAUGUAUUUUAUUUGGCGGUUUUCUGGAUGAUGAAGCAUUUGGUGUCUUCCAAGGGUUGACAGAAGCUACAGAGGAAGGUUGGUCCAAUAUUGGUGCGAAUCCGAUACUAGGAAAAUCAUUCUCAGUUUGAAUAACAAUGAUUUGCAAAAGCUGCAUUGGCUGGUGGAGGGACUAAUCAAGGACAUCACUCAGCUGAAGAACAAGUUCCAAGAAGUGAUUUUGUGCUGGUCCUGGGAAAACAAAUUUUUUAGCUCAUUUUGUUUGGAAUUGGUGCAUUAGGAAUGGUGUAUAGGUUCCUUAACUAGUAAUCUUCUUCCUAGUGCUUUUUUUCUCUUUUGUUUCCUAGGAAUGUGGUUUUUAAACCACCUCACCUUUUGUAAGCUUCGGCUAGGUUUUGGUUAUAGAACACACCUUUCUAGCA